RNAcentral lists this ribosomal RNA (253 nucleotides) under uncultured bacterium. Its description in RNAcentral is "partial 16S ribosomal RNA". It matches the Rfam family "Bacterial small subunit ribosomal RNA", at positions 524 to 776 of the family's 1533-position model. The record is from RNAcentral.
UACGAAGGGGGCUAGCGUUGCUCGGAAUCACUGGGCGUAAAGCGCACGUAGGCGGAUUUCUAAGUCAGGGGUGAAAUCCUGGAGCUCAACUCCAGAACUGCCUUUGAUACUGGGAAUCUAGAGUCCGGGAGAGGUGAGUGGAACUGCGAGUGUAGAGGUGAAAUUCGUAGAUAUCUGGAGGAUCACCCGUGGCGAAGGCGGCUCUCUGGUCCGAAACUGACGCUGAGGUGCGAAAGCUAGGGUAGCAAACAGG